Molecule: ribosomal RNA, 348 nt
Filed under: uncultured bacterium
Lineage: Bacteria
Description: bacterial SSU rRNA
Rfam family: Bacterial small subunit ribosomal RNA
Source: RNAcentral
AUUGAACGCUGGCGGCAUGCCUAACACAUGCAAGUCGAACGGCAGCGCGGGAAAGCUUGCUUUCCUGGCGGCGAGUGGCGGACGGGUGAGUAAUACUUAGGAAUCUGCCCACUAGUGGGGGAUAGCCCGGGGAAACUCGGAUUAAUACCGCAUAAGCCCUACGGGGGGAAGCUGGGACCCAGCACCAUAGCCUUUUGGCAACCGAUCAAGGCGAGAAGAAGCUAUGGUGCNGGGCCUGGCGCUAGUGGAUGAGCCUAAGUCCUAUCAGCUAGUUGGUGGGGUAAAAGCCUACCAAGGCGACGACGGGUAGCUGGUCUGAGAGGAUGAUCAGCCACACUGGGACUGAGA